GUUCAAACACUGGUUCUUAUACGAUCACCAAAGUUAAGCAACGUUGAGCCUGGUCAGUACCUAGAUGAGUGACUGCUUGGGAAUACCAGGUGCUGUAAA
This is a non-coding RNA of Acanthosepion pharaonis, 99 nucleotides long. The record is from the annotation of a GenBank genome assembly. Lineage: Eukaryota; Metazoa; Mollusca; Cephalopoda; Sepiida; Sepiidae.